This 85-nucleotide transfer RNA is filed under the name Thermoprotei archaeon. RNAcentral describes it as "tRNA-Ser". It matches the Rfam family "tRNA". Rfam says of the family: Transfer RNA (tRNA) molecules are approximately 80 nucleotides in length. Their secondary structure includes four short double-helical elements and three loops (D, anti-codon, and T loops). Lineage: Archaea; Thermoproteati; Thermoproteota; Thermoprotei. The record is from RNAcentral.
GCGGGGGUGCCCGAGCCAGGACAAAGGGGCCGGACAGGAUAUCCGGUGGCGUAGGCCUCCGUGGGUUCGAAUCCCACCCCCCGCA